CUCUCCCGCUGGGACCGCACCUUUCUCCUGCCGCUGCGGACUGCGCCUCGAUUGUCUCCACGUGUUUCGGCGUCGCACAUGGUUGCGCCCGCUUAGGAGCACGUUGACGCGCCUUUCGCUGCUUUCGGCUCUUCCCGCACGCGAGAAGAGGCCUCGGCGCACAUUAUGGAUUUUCGGCCACCCGGCGAGCUGCCGCCACGCGCCCGCCAUCGUCGCCAUGCCAGCUUGAGCCGGUUGACACUCGGCCCCGCGACCCUCGAUAAGCUCUGGGCAAGGGAGGACCUCGAGCGUCGCGCCACUCGCAUGCUGGGCGAGUGACUGCGGGUACGAGCGCCCAUGCUGGGGACCCCUGCAGCUCCCACCGUGCCUACGACCGCACCGGCAGCCCCAGCAGCAACUACGGCGCCAUCCGAGAACGGCACCUGCGUGCAGGAAACCCACGUGGAGGUGCCGCUUCCCCUCUCGGACGAUGAAGAAAUGGACCAGUUCAUUUCUCGGAAACGCGCCCGCGAGAACGAGAGCGAGGAUGACGAGCCUGCCGCGCCACGUAAGCAGCCGCUGAGCGUGCCUCCCCUGCUCGGGAGAGCCGACGACGCAAGAAGACCACGGCAGUGCCAUCUCCCGACACCCGGGGGAAACAGCUACCAACCCCUCCUCCCCGAACGCGCAAGUUGGAGCGCCACCCGAGCCAGCAUCAAGCGAGCAGACCGCCCCACCUGCGGUAGGGUGCCUCGAUGCGCGCGCCCCCCUCCGCCGCUCCGUGGAGGGUGGGGACAUCCUUUGAAAGGGUCAGUGCCGCCUCGGCGAGGACGCGCGCCAUAUUUGUGCCCCCUCCUCGUCCCGCCUGCGUCAGUUGUACGUGCGGCGGCCUGUUUCCCGUCGGUUGCAAUUUUUCUUGGCCGCAAGACGAGAAAGACAUGCCGGGGUGUUGCGUGCCUGCGUGCACAAAUCACUCCCGAAAUGGCUGGAGAAUGUUUUCAUUUCCGAGAGAUCCGAAAAGAAGGCUCCUGUGGACUGUAAAAGUGAAACGGGACAAGUGGCAGCCGGCCAACACUUCAUGCCUAUGCAGUAAAGCUCAGGCGCACCGCAACCGGCUCGAAAGCCAUCACCUGGCCGUUGUACCGGUGUCUGCACGGCUUCCUCAGAGCACUACCGAUCAACGACGACUUGCUCAUGGAGGAAAACAUUGAGGUGCAGCAAGUGAAUGAACUGCCAAAUUCUGCAGCGGUCAUUGCAUCAUGGGACGAUGGCGAUAUUUCUACUGAGGAGAGCAGUGUUUGUCAACUAAGCAUUACUCCGGAGCCUCCCACUGACAGCCAAACUCCACAGCCUUCUACAGACAGUCCACAGCCUGAGGUAGUGAAUGACCUGGGCGCCAGAGCAGGCAGCCGUUCUGCGAACUGCUAGGCUAAAGGAAGGAAGAGAACAGCUUCUUAUGAAGCUGUUCGACUUUGAUGCAUGCCCCCCCUUAUGUAAUGCCUUCGGGCCCUUAAGGUUGAAUAAAUGAAAAAAAAAGAGGCCUGCGUCGACAA
This is a long non-coding RNA of Dermacentor albipictus, 1532 nucleotides long. RefSeq lists it as uncharacterized. NCBI's taxonomy places the organism in Eukaryota, Metazoa, Arthropoda, Arachnida, Ixodida, Ixodidae. The record is from RefSeq and is a predicted model, not a curated record.